RNAcentral lists this long non-coding RNA (501 nucleotides) under Coffea arabica (coffee). Its description in RNAcentral is "long non-coding RNA (CARA_LNC000835)". The record is from RNAcentral. Lineage: Eukaryota; Viridiplantae; Streptophyta; Magnoliopsida; Gentianales; Rubiaceae.
UUUUUUUUUUUUUUUUGUCAGCAACCAUACAUUUGUAUAAUCUAUCCUAUCCUAAUUUAGGGGAAAAGGGAGCCUAAAGAGGCUGUCGUAGGGACUAGUGAGUAUACAGACCCAACUAGAUCAAAAGAGUGUUAUGACUCAAAAAGGGACUUAAAUUCCUACCUUAGUGGCCAUUGAGCCAUUGGCCCGGUGGUUCAAAGCUACCAAUCCCAGUCCUCAUAGUAUACAUGACACAGCCAACAGCCUCUUUUGCUGUCAGUACCAAGACAUUUAAUUUGACUUAAUCUAGAAGGAGAGGGGAAAGAGGAAAGAGGAAAGAGAACUUUUUAUAUUUAGACUAGGGAUAAUUUCAUAAUACUCCCCUAAAAUUUGUAAUAAUUUUACUAAGUUUUCUUAAGAUUUCAAAAAUUAUACCUAUCUCUCUUGAUUUGAUACUUGUGAUUAUCAAACCUUAGACUUGAUCAACAAUUUUAAUUAAUACUCCAAAAUAUAAGUUUAAUU